RNAcentral lists this ribosomal RNA (494 nucleotides) under uncultured bacterium. RNAcentral describes it as "partial 16S ribosomal RNA". It matches the Rfam family "Bacterial small subunit ribosomal RNA", at positions 28 to 507 of the family's 1533-position model. The record is from RNAcentral.
GACGAACGCUGGCGGCGUGCCUAACACAUGCAAGUCGAACGGUGAAGCGCCUUCCUUUCUGGUGGGUGUGGAUGAGUGGCGAACGGGUGAGUAACACGUGAGUAACCUGCUCCCUCCUUCUGGAUAACCGCAUGAAAGUGUGGCUAAUACGGGAUAUUCUGGGCCUCUUGCAUGAUGGGUCUGGGACAGACAUUGUUUCGGUGGGGGAUGGGUUCGCGGCCCAUCAGCUUGUUGGUGGGGUGAUGGCCUACCAAGGCGGUGACGGGUAGCCGGCCUGAGAGGGUGGGCGGUCACAGAGGGGCGGCGACACGGACCAGACUCCUACGGGAGGCAGCAGGGGAGAAUAUGGCACAAUGGGCGGAAUGCUGAAGCAGCGACGCCGCGUGAGGGAUGGAGGCCGGCGGGUUGUAAACCUCUUUCGGCAGUGAAGCAGGCCUGCCGCGUUUGUGGGUAGGUUGACGGUAGCUGGAUAAGAAGCGCCGGCUAACUACGUG